Non-coding RNA from Carica papaya (papaya), 1180 nucleotides. The record is from RefSeq and is a predicted model, not a curated record. NCBI's taxonomy places the organism in Eukaryota, Viridiplantae, Streptophyta, Magnoliopsida, Brassicales, Caricaceae.
CCUUGAGAAUGCUGGGGAAGGUUCUAUUUUGCCCAUGCUGAGGUCUGCCAGACUUGUUUUACAGUUUCUUUCUUCAGGACGAUCAUACUCGGUUGGUUCCUCAUGCAAUCGUGUGGAUGCCCAGAUGAUGUGGCAUUUCGUUCAGUCUGCCUGGAUAUUGCAUAUCAGCUGCAAUAAGAGAAGAGUUGCCCCUAUUGCUGCACUUUUGUCUUCUGUGUUGCAUUAUUCUGUGUUUAGUGAUGGGAAUAUGCAUGAAGUCGAUCAUGCAGCUGGGCCUCUGAAGUGGUUCAUGGAAAAGCUUAUUGAGGAAGGUACUAAGAGCCCUCGCACAAUCCGUCUUGCUGCUUUACAUCUAUCAGGGCUUUGGUUGUCAAAUCCUAGCACAAUAAAGUUCUAUAUUAAAGAACUGAAGCUGCUCACGCUCUAUGGUUCUGUUGCAUUUGAUGAGGAUUUUGAGAUGGAAUUAUCUGAUAAUUAUGAUGCAAAGACAGAAGUAUCAUUAUUAGCUAAAAGCCCAGACUCUGAGCUGACUGAGGAAAAAAGGAAAAGAAACUUGGUGGAACAAGAAUAAAUUCCACUUAGUUUUGCUCAUAUGAAACAUUUCCUUUGUAGAUGAGGUUGAUUCUAUUACCUCAAUAGACCUACUUGGUUGGUUGGAUGCAUGUGGAGACUGCAUAUUAUAUGGUCUUUAUCAACACAGAGUUGUAUGCAAGAGUUUCUGUUGCUGCACUGUUUUACAGACUUGCUGACUUGGCUGAUAUGGUCGGAUCAACAAAUGAAAAUAAAAGUUGUCUAGCGGCUCUAGAGUCUGGCAAAUCUUUUUUGCUAGAGCUUCUCGAUUCUGUGGUAUUGGUUUCCUUCUUUCAGUGUGAGAUAAUUAGAAAUUUCACCUUAAGCCGGAGUUCUAACGUGGAGAUAAAGUUAUAAAAAUCUCAGGGAAAACUGGCUAUAAUGUAUUUCCAAUUGCACAAUAGAGGCAAGCAUCUGUUUUUAGUGACUUUACUCUGUCUUAUCCAUGUGGAGUUAUUGUCUAGGAUCAGCCUUUAGGGCAUUGUUUGGAACAAUUGAGCAUAGAGUUUGAAUUAAUCUUAAAAUGAAUUUUGGUAUGGAAUUUACUUGAAAAUGAAUUCCAUUAUGGAAUUGAAUGCAUUUGAAAAUGAAUUCCCAUAUUUGAAAUAAA